Molecule: ribosomal RNA, 723 nt
Filed under: Vibrio sp. 13D03
Lineage: Bacteria; Pseudomonadati; Pseudomonadota; Gammaproteobacteria; Vibrionales; Vibrionaceae
Description: bacterial SSU rRNA
Rfam family: Bacterial small subunit ribosomal RNA
Source: RNAcentral
ACGCUGGCGGCAGGCCUAACACAUGCAAGUCGAGCGGAAACGACACUAACCAUCCUUCGGGUGCGUUAAUGGGCGUCGAGCGGCGGACGGGUGAGUAAUGCCUAGGAAAUUGCCUUGAUGUGGGGGAUAACCAUUGGAAACGAUGGCUAAUACCGCAUAAUGCCUACGGGCCAAAGAGGGGGACCUUCGGGCCUCUCGCGUCAAGAUAUGCCUAGGUGGGAUUAGCUAGUUGGUGAGGUAAUGGCUCACCAAGGCGACGAUCCCUAGCUGGUCUGAGAGGAUGAUCAGCCACACUGGAACUGAGACACGGUCCAGACUCCUACGGGAGGCAGCAGUGGGGAAUAUUGCACAAUGGGCGAAAGCCUGAUGCAGCCAUGCCGCGUGUAUGAAGAAGGCCUUCGGGUUGUAAAGUACUUUCAGUUGUGAGGAAGGGGGURKWGUUAAUAGCKSYAUCUCUUGACGUUAGCAACAGAAGAAGCACCGGCUAACUCCGUGCCAGCAGCCGCGGUAAUACGGAGGGUGCGAGCGUUAAUCGGAAUUACUGGGCGUAAAGCGCAUGCAGGUGGUUCAUUAAGUCAGAUGUGAAAGCCCGGGGCUCAACCUCGGAACUGCAUUUGAAACUGGUGAACUAGAGUACUGUAGAGGGGGGUAGAAUUUCAGGUGUAGCGGUGAAAUGCGUAGAGAUCUGAAGGAAUACCAGUGGCGAAGGCGGCCCCCUGGACA